Molecule: ribosomal RNA, 562 nt
Filed under: uncultured fungus
Lineage: Eukaryota; Fungi
Description: eukaryotic LSU rRNA
Rfam family: 5.8S ribosomal RNA (bases 185-338)
Source: RNAcentral
GCGGAGGGGAUCAUUUACACUAAAGAUAUGAAGGCGGGCGGGAAGCUCUCCGGGUUCAGCCUUGCUGAAUUAUUCGCCCUUGUCUUUUGCGUACUUCUUGUUUCCUUGGUGGGUUCGCCCACCAGUAGGACAAACGUAAACCUUUUGUAAUUGCGAUCACCGUCAGUAACAAAUUAAUAAUUACAACUUUCAACAACGGAUCUCUUGGUUCUGGCAUCGAUGAAGAACGCAGCGAAAUGCGAUAAGUAGUGUGAAUUGCAGAAUUCAGUGAAUCAUCGAAUCUUUGAACGCACAUUGCGCCCUUUGGUAUUCCAAAGGGCAUGCCUGUUCGAGCGUCAUUUGGACCCUCAAGCUUUGCUUGGUGUUGGGCGUCUUGUCUCUAGCUUUGCUGGAGACUCGCCUUAAAGUAAUUGGCAGCCGGCCUACUGGUUUCGGAGCGCAGCACAAGUCGCACUCUCUAUCAGCAAAGGUCUAGCAUCCAUUAAGCCUUUUUUCCACCUUUGAACUCCGAAUCAGGAAGGGAUCCCGGAUUAAGUUUAACCUACCCAUAAACCGGAAGAAA